RNAcentral lists this ribosomal RNA (206 nucleotides) under uncultured bacterium. RNAcentral's name for it is "partial 16S ribosomal RNA". It matches the Rfam family "Bacterial small subunit ribosomal RNA", at positions 1295 to 1500 of the family's 1533-position model. The record is from RNAcentral.
GGAUUGUAGUCUGCAACUCGACUACAUGAAGCNGGAAUCGCUAGUAAUCGCGGAUCAGAAUGCCGCGGUGAAUACGUUCCCGGGUCUUGUACACACCGCCCGUCACACCAUGGGAGUCGAUAACGCCCGAAGUCAGUGACCCAACCGAGAGGAGGGAGCUGCCGAAGGCGGGAUUGAUAACUGGGGUGAAGUCGUAACAAGGUAAC